CUUGAUAGCUAUAAGAGGUCCAGCCUGCCCAGUGAUAAAUUCAACGGCCGCGGUAUCCUAACCGUGCGAAGGUAGCAUAAUCACUUGUUCUUUAAAUAGGGACUCGUAUCAACGGCAUCACGAGGGUUACACUGUCUCCUCUUUCCAAUCAGUGAAACUGAUCUUCCCGUGAAGAAGCGGGAAUGAACUAAUAAGACGAGAAGACCCCAUGGAGCUUUAAACCUCACAGCAACUCUAACAUAUAUUUCCCCAUAACCCGCAGAGCAAUGCUAGUCGGUUUUAGGUUGGGGUGACCGCGGAGCAAAAACUACCCUCCACGACGAACAGAACUAAAUCUUUAUCCAAGAGCAACCACUCUAAGAACUAGCACACUAACGUAUCAUGACCCGAUAAUCGAUCAACGGACCA
This 408-nucleotide ribosomal RNA is filed under the name Rhacophorus kio. Its description in RNAcentral is "partial 16S ribosomal RNA". It matches the Rfam family "Bacterial large subunit ribosomal RNA", at positions 1835 to 2459 of the family's 2925-position model. The record is from RNAcentral. Lineage: Eukaryota; Metazoa; Chordata; Amphibia; Anura; Rhacophoridae.